Molecule: unclassified non-coding RNA, 203 nt
Filed under: Hevea brasiliensis (rubber tree)
Lineage: Eukaryota; Viridiplantae; Streptophyta; Magnoliopsida; Malpighiales; Euphorbiaceae
Source: RNAcentral
GGUGCCCAUGUUUGUGAUUUCAAAAAAAGGGUAGUGAGUUUGUAUCUGUGGCAUAUUCAUUAUUUGUUGCAGCAAUGGUGAUGAGAUGGCAGGUUGUACUGCAAACAUUUUGUGUUGGUGAUAAUAGUGAUAAAGAAUGGAUUGCAUGAGAUAUCUUAUUGCCUGAUGGAAUUGGAAAAAUCUUGGAAGUGUAGGAUAGAUUU